RNAcentral lists this ribosomal RNA (855 nucleotides) under uncultured bacterium. Its description in RNAcentral is "SSU rRNA". It matches the Rfam family "Bacterial small subunit ribosomal RNA", at positions 524 to 1381 of the family's 1533-position model. The record is from RNAcentral.
UACGAAGGGUGCUAGCGUUGUUCGGAAUCACUGGGCGUAAAGCGUUCGUAGGCGGUUUAGUAAGUCGAUUGUGAAAGCCCCGGGCUUAACUCGGGAACUGCAAUCGAUACUGCUUUGCUAGAAUAUGGUGGGGGAUAGUGGAAUUCCUAGUGUAGGGGUGAAAUCCGUAGAUAUUAGGAGGAAUACCGGUGGCGAAAGCGACUAUCUAUGCCAUUAUUGACGCUGAGGAACGAAAGCGUGGGGAGCAAACAGGAUUAGAUACCCUGGUAGUCCACGCAGUAAACGAUGAGUGCUAGUUGUCGGGGUCUUAGACUUCGGUGGUGAAGCUAACGCGUUAAGCACUCCGCCUGGGGAAUACGGCCGCAAGGCUAAAACUCAAAGGAAUUGACGGGGACCCGCACAAGCAGUGGAGCAUGUGGUUUAAUUCGAUGCUACGCGAAAAACCUUACCAACCCUUGAAUCCCAUUGACCGGUACAGAGAUGUACUUUUGGAGCAAUCCACAGUGGAGACAGGUGUUGCAUGGCUGUCGUCAGCUCGUGUCGUGAGAUGUUAGGUUAAGUCCUUCAACGAGCGCAACCCUCAUCCUUAUUUGCCAUCGGGUUAUGCCGGGAACUAUAAGGAAACUGCCUGCGACAAGCAGGAGGAAGGUGGGGACGAUGUCAAGUCAUCAUGGCCCUUAUGGGUUGGGCUACACACAUGCUACAAUGGUGGUUACAGCAGGAAGCCAAGGAGCGAUCCGGAGCAAAUCCUUAAAAGCCAUCUCAGUUCAGAUUGGGGGCUGCAACUCGCCCCAUGAAGUUGGAAUUGCUAGUAAUCGUGGAUCAGCACGCCACGGUGAAUACGUUCUCGGGUCU